Molecule: long non-coding RNA, 1567 nt
Filed under: Salmo salar (Atlantic salmon)
Lineage: Eukaryota; Metazoa; Chordata; Actinopteri; Salmoniformes; Salmonidae
Description: lncRNA (ENSSSAG00000120264.1)
Source: RNAcentral
GUUUCUUUCGUGUUAUGUCAUGUAAGCCUUCAUUUAGCAAAGUAUAACAUUUUCAUUGUCUUGAAAUUGAUAAUUUUAUACAAAAUGUUUCAAGGCAUUAUUUGUCUAUCUGGUUUUUCACUCAAGUCAUUGGCACCAGUUCCCAUUCGGAAUUUCUGAACAAUGAAUGUAGCCUAGAAACUAUUUACCGCUUUCCCUGUACAUAAUGUAAACGGUUUGUACCCCCUAAACCAAUUCCCCAUUAAUAUAUCCAUCAGAAUGUCUGGAUCAGUCAUCAAUGGUAACGGGCAGGGUGUUGCGUGUUAAGAUUCCCACUUGGAUCACAGGUUCCUCCUCCAGGGCUACAGUAGAGGGAUCAGUCAUGCCACAUGCAGCAUCCCCAUCUCUACUUUCUGGUAAAUGUCACUUUAAAGAUGACUCAAGAGACAUAAGACUCCCGAGUCCGUUUCUGAAGCACAAUCAUGCUCCAUUAAAAUCAGUCCAGAUGAGAUGUAGUUCUGCCUACUUUACAAGGUAUUGAUAAUGUCUCAAUAUAAAAGAACGCUGGUAAAGGCCCCCCAAUUAUAAACAGCACUGUUUUAUAGUGUCAUGUUGUACACUUUCAGAAGGUGCAGGUGUAGACACAUGUACAAUGAUUUGUGAAAUUGUAUUCUGAUCGCCAAAUCUGGUCCAUGUCCAUAAUAAGAUCCACAUUGACAACCAUCUGAGUAUAUGUGAAUGUAUACCAUUCAACCGCUACAGUUUAAUCAUCAUCAACAACCAAGCACACUGCAUUUGACAUGCUCUUCCUUUGUCUUUUUUUUGUAAGAAAUCCUGUCCCCAGAAAGGUCGAGCCUGUAGUGUUUUGGGUUGGUGGUAAUAAUACUUCCAUUUUCCCAGUGUUUCAUCAUCGUCGUAUAUGAAUUUGAGUUUAAUUUUGUGUAACCACAUGUCCCACCACUCGGUACCUCUUCACGCCUGACCAGAACCUUGUCAUCUGGCUCUGUUUCUGUCCAGCAAAGCCUGUCAAUUCUGGAUGUUAAUUCUGAUCUCACAUGAGAACCUGGGCAUUCCCAUUUACAUGAACAAAUGUAAACAGAAACACUUUUGGCUAUGGACAUCAACCAGAUCCUCAGAUCCACUUGACUGAAGUCUUGCUCCUACACUACCGAUGGAACGAUCUCAUGGAAUAGAUCCAAGCCACUACACCAGGGAAUACUUUGGGGAGAGUUGUAGUCAUGGGAGUGUGUGAAGUUUAACUGCCACCAAUUGAUCUGGAAGGAGGACAUUUUAACAACCCAAAUAGGACAAGUUUCCCCAUCAACAUUUGGCCCCACAAGGCUACUCUGUCAGUGCUGUAACCAGCUAAAGACAAUCUCUGGACUGUUUCUAUCUUUAGACUGAUUUUCAUUUUUCUAUUUACUGUGUUGAACAUAUGGAGUACAGGAGGACUACCGGGCAGCUGAAUUGUAUAUACAAACUACAAAGACUACAUUUGUAGCCCAUUUUCUGUGUCCCUUUGUCACCUCUUCUUUGACUUCUAUGAUGUUGUGUAGUAUGGUGUUUGGCAUUAAACUCUUAUUUGAAU